UGAGUCGGCCGGGCGGCCGCGGCGAGCAUGUCUCGUCGAGGAAAGUCCGGACUCCACAGAGCACGGUGGUGGCCAACAGCCACCCACGGCGACGUGCGGGACAGUGCCACAGAGAUCAGACCGCCAGCGGCUCUCGCUCCUCGGAGCGGGAGUGCGGGUAAGGGUGAAACGGUGAGGUAAGAGCUCACCAGCGGUGUCGGCGACGGCACCGGCUCGGUAAACCCCACCGGGAGCAAGACCAAGAGAGUCUCUUCGGAGGCUUGCGCUGACGGGCUGCUCGUCCGACGUCAGCGGGUAGGUCGCACCGAGGCGUCCAGCAAUGGGCGCCCCAGAUGGAUGGUCGCCCUCGACAGAAUCCGGCUUACAGGCCGGCUCAUUCG
This is a non-coding RNA of Aeromicrobium sp. Root495, 380 nucleotides long. It matches the Rfam family "Bacterial RNase P class A". From Rfam's summary of the family: Ribonuclease P (RNase P) is a ubiquitous endoribonuclease, found in archaea, bacteria and eukarya as well as chloroplasts and mitochondria. Its best characterised activity is the generation of mature 5'-ends of tRNAs by cleaving the 5'-leader elements of precursor-tRNAs. NCBI's taxonomy places the organism in Bacteria, Bacillati, Actinomycetota, Actinomycetes, Propionibacteriales, Nocardioidaceae. The record is from Rfam.